RNAcentral lists this ribosomal RNA (492 nucleotides) under uncultured bacterium. RNAcentral's name for it is "partial 16S ribosomal RNA". It matches the Rfam family "Bacterial small subunit ribosomal RNA", at positions 29 to 507 of the family's 1533-position model. The record is from RNAcentral.
AUUGAACGCUGGCGGCAUGCUUUACACAUGCAAGUCGAACGGUAACAGGCUUUCGGGUGCUGACGAGUGGCGAACGGGUGAGUAAUGCAUCGGAACGUACCCAGAGGUGGGGGUUAACGCAGCGAAAGCUGUGCUAAUAUCGCAUGUGAUCUGAGGAUGAAAGCGGGGGACCGAGCAGCAAUGUUUGGCCUCGCGCCUUUGGAGCGGCCGAUGUCGGAUUAGCUAGUUGGUGGGGUAAAGGCCUACCAAGGCGACGAUCCGUAGCCGGUCUGAGAGGAGGACCGGCCACACUGGGACUGAGACACGGCCCAGACUCCUAAGGGAGGCAGCAGUGGGGAAUUUUGGACAAUGGGCGCAAGCCUGAUCCAGCAAUGCCGCGUGCGGGAAGAAGGCCUUCGGGUUGCAAACCGCUUUUGGCAGGAACGAAACGGUGUCCGCUAAUACCGGGCGCUAAUGACGGUACCUGCAGAAUAAGCACCGGCUAACUACGUG